AAACCAUGAUUCAGAGACCGCAUCAAGUACUACUUGAACCACUCCUAAGCUUCAUACAAUUGUUCCCCCAGAAGUUGUUUGAACUCAAAACUUUUGUCUUAGAGUUC
Lycium barbarum (goji berry) is the source of this 107-nucleotide small nucleolar RNA. NCBI's taxonomy places the organism in Eukaryota, Viridiplantae, Streptophyta, Magnoliopsida, Solanales, Solanaceae. The record is from RefSeq and is a predicted model, not a curated record.